RNA transcript from Phacochoerus africanus (Common warthog), 9892 nucleotides. It is a transcript of the gene named BCL2 apoptosis regulator, with no coding region annotated. The transcript is spliced from 3 exons. NCBI's taxonomy places the organism in Eukaryota, Metazoa, Chordata, Mammalia, Artiodactyla, Suidae. The record is from RefSeq and is a predicted model, not a curated record.
AGAGGGGGUCCAGGGGGGAGAACUUCGUAGCAGUCAUCCUUUUUAGGAAAAGAGGGAAAAAAUAAAACCCUCCCCCACCACCUCCUUCUCCCCACCCCUCGCCGCACCACACACAGCGCGGGCUUCUCGCGCUCGGCACCGGCGGGCCGGGUGCGUCCAGCCUUCAUUUAUCAAGCAGCUUUUCGGAAAAUGCAUUUGCUGUUCGGAGUUUAAUCAGAAGAGGAUUCUUGUCCCCGUCCCCGGCUCGUCCACCGGCCCCCGGUCCCUGUCUCUCUCCCGUGGAGGCGUGAAGCGGCCCCGCGGGUAGAAAUCCAUGUCCGUGCCCGCGCGUGUGUGUGCGUGUGUAAAUUGCCGAGAGGGGAAAAAUCACAGGACUUCUGCAAAUCCCGGACUGAAAAUUGUAAUUCAUCUGCCGCCGCCGCUGCCUUUCUUUUCUCGUGCUCUUGAGAUCUCUGGUUGGGAUUCCUACGGAUUGACAUUUCUGUAAAGGAGAAGUCUGGGAAUCAAACUGGAAAUUCUCCUAAUUUUUACACCUCCUCCCCCAGCUCCUGAUUCAUUUGGAAGUUUCAAAGCAGCUAUAACUGGAGAGUUCUGAAGAUUGAUGGAAUCUUUGCCUUAUGCAUUUGUUUUGUUUUCACAAAAAGGAAACUUGACAGAGGAUCAUGCUGUCCUUAAAAAAUACAAGUAAGUUCUUUGCACAGAAAAUUGGCUUAAUGUAACUUUCAAUGGAAACAUUUGAGAUUUUAACUUUUAAGUGCAUUCGAGUAAGUUUAAUUUCCAGGCAGUUUAAUACAUUCUUUUCAGCUGUGUAACUUGUAGUGUGUUAAGCCCUGCUUUCACCCAGUGUAUAAAGGGAAAUGCACCUGAUUUUGACUGAUUAGUUUUUUUAACCUUUCAGCAUCACGGGGGAAGUAGACUGAUAUUAACAAUAAUUAAUAAUGUGCCUCAUGAACUAAAGAUCCGAAAGGAAUUUAAAUAAAAAUUUCCUGCAUCUCAUGCCAAGAGGGAAACACCAGAAUCAAGUGUUCCGCGUGACUGAAGACACCCCCUCAACCAAGAAUGCAAAGCACAUCCAAUAAAAUAGCUGGAUUAUAACUAUUCUCUCUUUCGGGGCCGUGGGGUGGGAAGCGGGGGCGAGAGGUGCUGUUGGUACCCGGCUGCUUUUUCUCUGGGAAAGGAUGGCGCACGCUGGGAGAACAGGGUAUGAUAACCGGGAAAUAGUGAUGAAGUACAUCCACUAUAAGCUGUCGCAGAGGGGCUACGAGUGGGAUGCCGGAGACGCGGGCGCCGCGUCCCCGGGGGCCGCUCCCGCACCGGGCAUCUUCUCAUCCCAGCCCGGGCGAACCCCCGCUCCCGCCAGGACCUCGCCGCCGCCGACCCCGACCGCCCCCGCCGCCCCCGCCGCCGCCGCCGCCGCCGCGGGGCCUGUACUCAGCCCGGUGCCACCUGUGGUCCACCUGACCCUGCGCCAGGCCGGCGAUGACUUCUCUCGUCGCUACCGCCGCGACUUUGCCGAGAUGUCCAGCCAGCUGCACCUGACUCCCUUCACCGCGAGGGGACGCUUUGCCACGGUGGUGGAGGAGCUCUUCAGGGAUGGGGUGAACUGGGGGAGGAUUGUGGCCUUCUUUGAGUUCGGUGGGGUCAUGUGUGUGGAGAGCGUCAACCGGGAGAUGUCGCCCCUGGUGGACAACAUCGCCCUGUGGAUGACUGAGUACCUGAACCGGCACCUGCACACCUGGAUCCAGGAUAACGGAGGCUGGAAUUCACAUCAUUUUGGGUCUUCUCUGCUGGAAAAACGUGAAUCUACAGUAUCUAUAUAAAGCAUAGAAGAAUUGAUUCUUAGCUAUGGAUUCCUGUGCUCUGACUUUAGUUGAAGUGAUUAAUGCCUGUAUCUUUGAAGAACAUGUGUAUAGCGGUAACCUUGCGAGCUGGUCACCCUUUCCCCCAGCUAUACACAGGAGACCACUCAGAGAACUGACUCCACUACGAAGCUUCUUUUUCAUUCCUCUUGGUUUGAUUCAAACCAAAUCAGUGCUUGACCUCACAACAGGAUUAACGAUGAAAGUCAGCCAAGGACUGAGACAGUAAUUCAACCAAUGUGAUUGCAAGUCUUCUGUGUGCCCAGCCCUGGGUUAGGUUGGGGGUCAGGGAGAAACGCUCCCCCCCUCUCCAGCCCUGGAUACUCUCAUAGGCUGAUGCUAGAGAUGUCCACGUGAACUCAGAGUUGCCACGCAACCUGGUAAGCGUGAUUUUAAACUCUCAGAUUUAGAGGGAAAAAGAAAAAAAAAAAAUAAAAUAAAAAACUUAAGUAUGUGCUAUUUUGCAUAAACUUCCAUCUUUGUCUGAAAAAGUUAUUUCUAACCAUAUGGCUCUUCAUGUGUGUAUUAGGCCUGAUUUAACUAGGAGGAGAAAUAGUUUUUUAAAAAGACUGUGUUACACGGACAUACACUUAAGAGAACCGAAAGGCAGGGGGAGUUCCCUUGUUAAAUAUUUACCCUUUGGACACUCCUUAUACAUAUUACGAAGACUUAAUAAACACUAAUCUUCAGUUUUUCAAGUAUUUCAUUAAUUGUUUCAGUAGAAGACAAUCAAGGCUCUGAUUAGGAUGAGUAGAAUAGAUUGCUUUGAAGAAAUAUCUUUCUUAAAUCCUUCUGGAAUGCAGAAAAAUACGAGUUGAUCUGAACCAGAACAGAGGAGAGAGGAAAAAACAAAGCUUUUGUUUUGGUUUGGUUUUAGGUUCUAGUAGUGUUCUGUUUAUUAAGAGGCUUCUCUUCCAAAAUGCAACUCAUAGAAAUUCCCAGCUCACUGGGACGUGCGUGUUCCCGAAGUGCAGGUGUUUACUGUCUAACUUCUUUUAUUCGUGGGCCCCUUCUUUAACUGGAGGUUGUAGAACUUUUGAAAUCACAACAUAGCUGUUUUCAUUUUUUUAAGUAUUUUUUGGUAGAUCGCCACUUGUUCUGAUCUGUGCUCACCUCUCUAGUGCCAGCAUGAUUUCUCUGCUCUUUAUUUGCCAGACAAAAGAGAAACCCAGCUGUCUUUCAGUGAGCAUGAUGCUGGAAUGAUUGUUUCUAUCUCUCCAAAGCUAUGUAGAAUUUCUCAUCAGGACCACUCCCACCCCCCACCAGGGUCCCCCACCUGCCUAUCAUCCCAGCACAGGGAGACCUCCAAGGGGGAGCUCCUUGAUACUCACCAACACGAGUAAGGUAGGACUGUGUCUACGCAAGAGCGUUGUGUCUAGGUAACCAGCAAGAGGGAGCAGAGAAGGGGUGGGUCAGAGCUAGAAUAUUAUGACCCCUACUCCAGUCUUACUACAGGCAGCCGGUCAAGGAAAAAUUCUGUCGUCAGAUCUGAUGCUUUCCUUCCAGAGCUCAUAAAUUCCAGCCCUAUGCAGGGGAUAAGAUAGAAUCUGCUAGAAGAAUUUGUACUAGCUCUGGUCUGUGCAGUGUUAGAGGCGAGUGAGGGUUAUGCUCUAGCCUUAGAUAAAGUUUGACUAACUAAACUUAACUAAAAUCACUUAUACUAAAGACUGCUUUCCCAAAUGCCCUCUUAAACACGGUAGAAAGGGAAUGUCCCUGACCUGCUGGGGUGGCCCUUUGUAGCAGUGCACCAAGAGCUCCUUGGAUGAUUUUCUUACGUGAUUGGCUAGAUUCUACGAGAAAGUUCGCUGGUAUUUCCAUUCUGCUCCUUGUUUUGCCUUCAGACUUUCAGGGAUGGAGCCAUAUUCCAUUUUUAGUUAAUAAUGAACUCUCUGGGGCUUCAACAUAAUGAGUCAGAGGCUUAUGCCGGACUCCACUCUCCUCUUUACUGAGUCUCCUGAAAGCAACCCAAGGACCCACAGUGUCAAGUGAAGCUUACAUUUUCCGAAGGAGAUUUCACCAUUGAGACCAAUACUUCUUUCUUGUGAUGGUUCGAAUUACUACAUUUUUUUCUGUUUUUAACUGUCUUGUCUUAAGCUGCGAAAGAAUAUGGGGAGUUUAUGACUUGGGGAAUGCUUGGAGGACCAGACAAAGUGUCAGUGUUGCAGGGUCUCUCUUCUUGAUUUUAUCCGACUCUUCCUCACCAGCACUAAAGGUUUCUUCUGCUUUUACAGAACAAUGAAUGUCAUAUUCAUGUAUUGCCUUUGAAACUGAAUUGCAGCCAGAUAUUCCACUCAGCUGCAUUAGAAUUUUCAAAGCGAAAAUACUUAGUCCUCUUAAUUCAAUGCCUUCUGACAGUUAGGGUAGGAAAAAAUUAAUUACAAAUUAUAUCACCAUCUUUAGAUAUUGAUUUUUUUAUCUCUUGGGGAAAAAAAGCAAGUCCAUAAAGGAUGCCAGGUGGCACCUCUAAGUCUAAAUUUUUAGGACUACGUCCUAGCCAUUCUCUUUAUGAAUUCCUGCUGGCAUUUCUCUCUCUCUCUCUCCCUUUCUCUUUCUCUCUCUCUUUCUCUCUAACACUUAAAACUUUUAAAGGCAGUUUUGAGCUAUUUUUAACAAAAUUUUAAGUAUAGUGAGGCAGAACCACUUACUAAAUAUUAAAGUGACUGUAUAAGAAGAAAACAAUGGGAAGAGGUCUUAAGGAAGACGAGCAAUUGUUCACUAAUCUUAACUCCGAGUUCCUAGCAACCAGGGCAGUGGUGGGAGAAUAAAGAUCUUGUUAUUUUGUAGCGCAUGCACCCUACCCUUUUCCAUUGAAAAAACAUUUAUUGGGGGUCUACCAUGUACGGAGUUCUGUGCCAGGUGUUUCACCUGUGGAAGAUAACCUCUGCCUCUAAGGAAUUAGCCAACCAGUAGUGAGACUGAGAUGUGUAAAUUGCUGUGAUCCUUGACACACUUUAGUGGGAGGAACCAUCUGGUCCAGCUGGAAGAAGGGGAUCUGGAUGAGUUUUGGUGGGAGAUACGGAGAGGGCAUUUCAGGUAGCUGGACGGGCCUGGAGGAGUCAGAGCAGGCAGGAAUGUGUGAGGCGUCCCUGGGGACUUGGAAAGAGUCUGACGAGAUUGGGGCAUGGAGAUUUCUUGUGAGAAAAGACUGGAUCAUAAGUUGAGAGGUCUGUGUUGAAUUUGGUCGAUGUUAAUAGGUUCUUGAAAGGGUUCUGAGACAAGGUGGGGUAUGUGGGCUGGUGGAAGAUUGACAGUGGCUGAGGUUGGAUAGUGGGAGACCAAGGAAGAGGUUUGGACCAGGGCAGGGGAGUGGGGAUGUGGACCCCAAGGACUGACAACAGAUUGAACAUGGGAAAUGAGGGAGGGAAAGAAGCAAAGAAUGCAAAUUCCAAACCCAGGAUAAGAAAAAUGACCGUUUUGUGGGGUAAAUGUGAUGAAAUUCAUUUUGGACAUUUUCAUCUUGAGCUUCCCAUAGGCUAUCCAUUGGAAAUGCCCAGGAGCAGUUGGUCUUCAGGAUCUAGACCUGGAGAGAGACAUUGGGGCUGGAAUACACCCUGCUUUUCCCCCAAACCCUGUCAACUCCCCCCUUUUCUUCUUUUGUUUCCAAAAAUGGUCCUAGCUGCUGCUGCUGAUUCUGCCUUCUUUUAUUAACCACUCUUUCUACACCACCUUUCCCCCAAAGACCUCUGUAGAGGUCUGUGGAUUGAAUUAAGGUGAUUAACUUGAAGUUUUACUGUUCAAAGCUUGGCUCCCCACUACCAGUUUGCCUACUUAAAGAUAACUCAACUGGAGUUAGAUUACUGUUGUUUCAACAUCCUAGUGGUGUCUUCCCUUUGCAGAUUCUUAGACAGUCCAGGAGUUCUCCUGCACUGGUACUUGCUGACUUAAUAGCAGUUCUCCUAGUAUAUUGAACCCGCACCUAGCAUGGUAGAUAGUAGGUGCACACAAUGAUUGUUGAUUGAAUAAAUGAAUUAAUAAAAGUGAUUAGGAUAGAGGCCCUUUGGACAUCAGACUCAUCCUCAUCAACUAGUGUGCCUCUCCACUUAUUAUAUAGAGUAUAUAUGUUCCACUCUCUAAUGUUCCACUGUAGGGACAUAUGUGUUCCCACUGACCCAUCCUAUGGAUUCUGUUAAUAUUCCGUAGAAGUGGACAAAGAAAACUACCUCAAUGUUUUGAUUUCAUCCUUUAUCAUUGAAUUGAAAAAGUAAGUCAUUCAUACCUGAAAAGAAAUCUUCUAGAUUUUGCUUGAUCUUAAACAUUCAACUUUAAUGAAAGUCCUCACUACUAAUAUGAGAGAUUAGCACAUCACUGAUCACAUUGUAUCUGUUUGUACAAAAGAUACACGCACACAGUCAGACAUAUAUGUGCAUACUUGCUCUCAUUUCUCGGGUUUUGUGUCUCCAGCCCUGUUCAGAUAGUCAGAGCCUUGUCAUCUAAGCUUCUUCACUACCUCAUCCUGAAAGAAAGCAGGGCUUGUCCAUGGUUCUCACAGUGGGGGACAGAGUGGCUUUUCCUCUGUUAUUAGUAUUGUAGCUCAAAUAUAAAAGAACUAUAGCAUACAAGUCACAAGGAUAAAUGGUCCCCUAGUUCUCCUCCCCUAAAAACAAGUAGCCAAUUGGAGAUGGGGGUCAGUAUAACUCAGUAUGUCCAGAGCAGAGGAUGCUGGGAUUUUAUUUCUCCAUACACUGGCCAAUGGGAAGAUUACUAGGAGUGGUAUGGAGCAAACCACUGGGCUGACAGGUUUGGGCUCCAUCCUCUGUUCUGGUUGAAGCAAGCAUCACAGCCUUUCUGUGGUUUUUAAGAACUGGUGGAAUUUGCAUUUUGAGAAUCCUUAUUCCUUGGCAUGAAGCAAACUCAAAAGCAUCGUUGCUCAUCAUUUGUCAUCUGUUUGAAAAAGAUUCUGUGAUUUGUGCACUUGUCAUGAAGCUUGACCAUACUUCUGGGGCUUACAGAUGUGAGUCCCUGUGAAAGAAACCACAAGCAAAUUCUCUUUUCUCCCCUAUCUUUACUUCUUCCCUCUCGUUUCUUCAAUGGCCAUCUGUGCAUUAUGUUACCACUGCCAGACCCUCUUCAAGUGGCUUAUCUAUGAGUGAAUUCAGAAACUUCAAAUUAUAAAGGACACCCAGAUAAUUGGCCCGUUCUCCAGAGUAUCUGUCCCCUGUGCUGCUGCCAGAUUCCUUCUUAAUGAAUACAUCCAGUGACAGUGGGAUUCUUGAUCCUCCGGAUCCGUGAGAAAAUGAGCUUCCCUGCUUUGUAACAGCUUGUGGCUCUGGGGGAAAAAAAAUGACAGCCAUUGCACAAGUUUCCUUUGAAUGUAGUUUUCUUUCCCAUAAAUGAUACUUUGAGACUACACUUAAGGGGUUAUUAGUUUUCUAUUUCAUGCUUGGCCUGUGUGUGAUAAUAACACAAGCUGUCACUGCAAAUCAGCAGCUAAACACGCUCUGUCUGGUUAAUGCAAGCAUUUCAUAUUUGGCUCAAUUAAAAAUUAACUGAUGAAAGUACAUGUCAAAUGGAAUUUGAAAAUACCUUUUGUAGGGAAGAUUGAAAGGGCAUGGCCAAUGAGUAAAUUAGUGGUUUUCAAAUGUGAGGGUUUGGGGGACAUUUAAUACAGGUUGGGACACUUGACUCUUCUCUCAAACCUCUCUACCUGUUUGAAAAGGAUGUUCCCAUCCAUAUCAUGAAGGGCUCGAUUGCUUCUGUGUGUUUACUGGAAAAUAAUCGUUGUGUGUGUGUGUGUGUUUGCAUGCGUGCUUGCUGGAUCAUACAGUUAAAGCAGAUAGAACAGGGGAUGGGGGACUCCUCUAUCUCACACUUUGUUUUGUUUUGUUUUUUUCCAUUGGCAGCAUGCUAUGGGCCAAUGUGGGGAGGUAUGAGCUGGCUUAGAGUCUGCAAGCUGGAGAUCAUGAAACAGCAGCUGCAGGAGAGCCUGGGGGAAACGCAACCACAGUAGGGGCAUUUAUUGGAGUUGGGGAAGUCUUCCCAGGAAAGGGAGCUGAAGCCUGGAAGCUGAGCCGAAAGUAACCUAGGGCUGUGGGAAGAAGGAGCAGAGUGUGGCCAGCAGACAGAACAUGGAGAAGAGGGACCGGGGGCUCCAGAGCAUGUGGGGAGUUAAAGGAACAGAGGAGUCCAGCCUGGCUGGAGUGAGGGGUACAAGUGGGGUGGAUUAGAAAGGUGGCCAAUAGAGUUGUACCACUGUGUGUAUGGGGGGGGGGGUUAUUUUAGAGAGGCCCCUCUCUAUUUACUCAGCUAGACAGGUGAUAUUAGUGACAGGUAGGAUGCUAGCUCAGUAAAGGUGAUGUGUGAUCUCAGUACCCAGACCAGGGAUUGAACUCCAGGCUGUUUCAGUGAAAGCACUGUAAUCCUAACCACUAGACCACCAGGGAACUCCCAAGAAAUUGAUAGUUUUGUGCAAUAAUCAGGACUGGAAAGGAGAGAUUUCUGGGAAGAUGUAGUGAUUGACUGAAUGCUUUCAAAUCUUGCUCAUUUCUUUUUCAGUUACAGUGGUCUUUUUUUCUGUAGCCACUUUGAAAAGAAUAUGUUUGGUCAUUGUUCUGGUUAUAUACAAAAUUUUUUUUUAAGUUUCCCAUUCUCUUAAAUUAACACAGCCUGACUGAAAACUUGAUUUUGUUGGAAUUCACAUUGCAAUAAAUCUUCAUUAACAACCAGUUAAUGAAGAUUUAUUUGAAGAAAGAACUCAACUAUGAAAGACAAUUUUCACAGAGUUUUUUCCUAGGUUAAAAAAAAUUGCAGCAGUGGUGUCUUGUUUUGAUGAAGGAUUUUAAAGUUUCCGAAGGAAUUCUGGAUCUUUUGACCCAUUUGAUUUUCAGAAAACUCUAGGCAAGGCAGGUAUUAUAUUCCCACUUCUCUCUGGCUUCCUCUUCCCACACCCUUUUUGUUAUUUGUUUAUCCCCAUGUGAAGAGAAAACCUAGACUAACAAAGCCACAUGAGAGCCAGUAAGUCAAGAGGAGCGGGUGUUUCAGUGCCAGACUCGGAGUCCGGGAGAUAUUUCUUAAUGCUGUGCUCCUUCUUGGGGCAUGUUUUCAUAAGGACACUAGAUUCCUCAAUAGAAACCUAAUCAAGUUUAUGCCUAAUUUUAAAAAAUAAUAUCCCUAACUGCUUUUUAUCGCAAAGAUUUUCAGGAAAAUUAAAAUGUAAUCUUGCAUUUCAGGUUACUUUCUCUCCUUUGGUUUAGCUUUUGAAAUGUGUUUCAUCUUAAUGGUGGAGGGACAUCUAACUUCGCCUUAUGAUGCACGUGGAUGUGACUGUGAAUUGAUCAAACUGGGCACACUUGACCUUGAAACUCCUUCUAAGAGGACGGUAGUGUCCUGGGUAAGAGAGUUUGCUAAAACUCAUGUGAGGGUUCUGGAAAACAGCUCCUUUCAGCAGGGGUCAAGUGGAAUUAUAUAAACAUAAAUGGCUGUUUCUGCCUAGGAAUCUGUGUUUUUAUUUACUUUAAAAAUUGGAACUCUGGGAGUUCCCUGGUGGCACAGCAGGUUAAGGAUCCCAUGUUGUCACUGCUGUGGUUGGCGUUCCACCCCUGGCUCAGAAACUUCCACAUGCCUCAAGCAUGAUCCAAAAGAAAAACUGAGCUCCUGUCUUUAGGUAUCCAAUAUAAAUUUGGUGAGUGAAGUGUUUUUUGAACUGAAAAAAUGGUGGCGCUUUCAUCUGUAGGAUUUCCCCAGUGUCUAAAGGACAUAUGGGUAUACAUUUGUUCAACUUUGUUCAUUCAACAGAUAAUUGUAAGAGUGCUGGAGCUAUGGCAGAAACAUGACAGCCAUGAACUGUCUCUUGUACCUCUCGUGAAUCCAACAUUGUGGAGAAAUCAGAACAGUAAACAGGCAAAUAAUUAACAAUAUAAUAUAGGGGCUACAACAUAAUAAAAACAAGGGAAUUCAAUACAGGAGUGCUGAUGGGGCAGUAUUAACGUCUUACAUUCGUUUUUUAAAAUUAUAGUUGAUUUAUGAUGUCGUGCCAAUUUCUGCUGUACAGCAAAGUGACCCAGUCAUACAUAUGCAUACAUUCCCUUUCUUAUAUU